Molecule: long non-coding RNA, 6754 nt
Filed under: Triticum aestivum (bread wheat)
Lineage: Eukaryota; Viridiplantae; Streptophyta; Magnoliopsida; Poales; Poaceae
Description: long non-coding RNA (TAES_LNC006898)
Source: RNAcentral
CUAGAUGCCACCGCCGACGGAUACUACUACAUGAAGGCCGCCGAAGACCAGGAGUAGUUAGGAGGUCCCAGGCAGGAGGCCUUGCCUCUUCGAUCGUGUUGCUUUUGUGCUAGCCUUCUUAAGGCAUCCUUGUUAACCUUAUGUCUGUACUCAGAUAUUGUUGCUUCCGCUGACUCUAGCGUAUCGAGCUAUGUAUUCGAGCCCUCGCGGCCCCUGGCUUGUAAUAUAAAGCUUGUAUUGUUUUAUUUAUUGUCUAGAGUUGUGUUGUGAUAUCUUCCAGUGAGUCCCUGAUCUUGAUCGUACACAUUUGCGUGUAUGAUUAGUGUAAGAUUGAAUCGGGGGCGUCACAAGUUGGUAUUAGAGCUGACUGCCUAUAGGAUCCCCCUUUCCAACUCCUUGGCCGAAGUUGAGUCUAGUGUUUGAAAAACUAUUUUACUAACAUGGAUUUGUGGCUUAUGGGCCCACGUCACCAUUGGGUGGUAUUGGGAUCUUUUACUCCUCGACUAUACUUUGGGACUCUAAUCUCUCUUCUAUUCGGGUUAAAUGGUUUUGUUAACUCUAACUCUAGGUUCUCGUAAAUACUUUCUCCCGGAGAGCCCCUCACUCUAGAUGAAUGCUUGGUGCACCAGAAGAUUCUGAAGUUACUCUCCGAUGUUUUCCCGAAACCCUUGUGCCCUUCGCCGUUGCAAUCCCUACCAUCGAUAAAUUCUUAUGGGUAACUACCUACAUUGUCGUUCAUACCUUCAUCCCUAGUUGCUCUUAUUAUUACAAGAUGUCCUGAAAUACUCUCCGAUGUUUCGAGAAACCUUUAUGCUUACUGCCCUACAGUUCCUUUCCGCAUGAAUACCCCUACGAAUAAUUACUCGCCCAUGCCGAGUAUCUGUUCGUCCAUAGUUGUUCAUGUGUUUCACAACAUUCUUCGGAAUGCAAUUCGAUCUUUCGAAAGUCCUCAGUAGCCUAUUACUCUUGUUCCUCCUUACCUUCUUACAUUAUGGUUACUUCCAUUUGUCUAGCAAUAUUCAUUAAAAUCCUUUGCGAUUGGCAUCCUUACCUUAUUGUUUCACCAUGUGUGUGAAUGCACGCAAUCAUCAAUUGUUCCCUGGAAUUGUCCUUCCGGCUCAGACGUCACCCUGGACACGAGCUGGUGUUCGACAAAUCAAACCUUGAUUGAUUUUCAAUCUAUGUCUAUUCAACUUAGUUGUCUUUGAUCAAAGCCUCUGCUUUUGAUCCCCCGUUUUGAAAAUCAUAAUCCCCUUUGCAUUCGAGCAUAGAAUUAGUCAGUUGUUUCUAUAACCUGACCUCCUUAAAUUCUUUCUUCUUCUGGUUGAGUACUGAUACUCACAUCAGAUCCAUUGUGGACCUCCAGGUCCUUUGUUGGGUUUUAUCCGACAGCAUCCUUCAUAUUUAGUAACCUUGUGAGCCUUUCCUCGGAUACACAAUGCUUUUGGUAAAUUGUAUCCCCCACUCUCGUCAACCAUACUCUGCUUUCAAGCUUGAGUUAUUUACUCGUGAAGUUUGUGGUAUAUGUUUCUAGUAAAUCCCUAUGGGUUGAAUCUAUGUCGUCCCUAAAUCUGUGUGAACCCUACGACUCAUACUCUACUUGUGUUAUGCCAGAUAAAAUCUCAAUAGUACGGCUUCGUUGAAAACUAGAAGUGACUGAAAGGUUAUACAUUGAAGAAGUGGGAGUCGACCUUGAACUUUGUGUUCAUGCCCAUGAACACGAUGUAGAUCCUAUCAUGGAAGCUUGUCAUUAUAAUAAUAAUCUCCUUGUUAUAAGUUCAUCUCGUAUCUAUAUUUGGUCCUUUGCAACCGUGAUUCCGACCAUAUUGCUCUUCUUUGAUCCCCUUUCUAGGACAAGUUGAAUUACUUGUCUUCUGCAGACCAUUUCACCCGUCCAACCUCUGUUCUGCUAUACCCUUGAGUAUUACCCUCUGGUAUCUCGAGAUUAUCACGGAACUACAUAACGUCUUACGAGUUCUUCAUGAACUAUUAAUUCUCGCUGAUUCCAAGUUUCUACGGGUUCUGAGAUGUUAAUCACUCGAUAACACCGAUAACUGAUUCGAGUCUACACUUUUCUUUCCAUUGUUUUGUUUAACCUUUCUUGUAACCUAAGAAAUCUGAGCAGUGAUAAUUCCCUGCUUAUGUAAACACCUCGGUGUACAAACUCUGUCAGUAAGACCUUGUUAUUAUUGUUGAUGACAUUCCGGUAGCCAUCGAUGGACGAGUACUUUGCCUAUUGGUCCGCCUUGUUUUAACGAGCAAGAAAAUGGUUCUCUUCGUCCCUCGCCCUUGGUACCAACGUUGUUGCCAACAUAACUGAUAGGCUAUCCUCUGACACACCUUGCUAUCAUGAUCGUGCAAAUGUUAGCACCCUUUCAGCUUUUAAACCCACAUGGUGGGCCCAUAACCCAUAGUUCCACAUGGUCGAAACCAGAACCUCCUACACAUCCCUGUUUUCUAAGUUAUUCCUCAUGCUUGGCUUCAUAUGUAAUUCACGAGCCACAUUCCUAGUGAUCUUUUUUGGUAUUAGAUGCAAUACUUCUUCUCGAUGCUCUAAACCCCCUUUCACCCUAUGUUUCAGGAAACGAACCGUUGCCUACCCGCUUGAAACUUCUUAUUGCACCUUCUUACCUUGCUCUCGAUGAAUUUCUUGAAUUUUGACUCGAGAGGUGCCUCUAUGCCAUGUUCACUGAGAUAGCCCCCAGGUACCUAUCUUGUGUUGAGCCCCGUCCUUCCCGAGUCUUUCCCCCUUACCCCACCUCUUAAAUCUCGGAACGAGAUUUCUUGUAGUGGAGGAGAAUUGUGACGCCCGGAUAAUUAAGCCAAAGUAAUCCCCUGUUAAUGGUGCCAUGUCAUCACAUUAUUGUUGCUAAUCCUCACUUGAUCCAAAUCACAAUUCAAAUUCAAGUUCUAUGUGAAAUUCUAAAUUUCUUCAAUCGGUGAAACAAAAAUGUUCGAGAUGUUGCUAAUAUUCACUAAAUAAUUGUCGGGUAGAAACCAACAUCUUUGACCCACCAUUUAAUCCCUAGUAAAAUGUAAAGUGGUCCAACGGCAACAAAAAUAUCUUUUUUAAACUAAGCAAAUGUUUGUGUAUUUCCAUUUGACUUGAAACCUUGAGGGCCUCUCUCAAUUAAUGACUAAUAUUUAUGUGCCAAUUUUAUAGUCAGAAAAAUUCAAUUGGUAUUUGUUUCGAACGCAAAUCAGUAGAGAAAAUAGAAAGCAGAAAUAUAAAAGGGGAAAAGGCCUAACUACUACUAGUCUGCACUGAAGCCUGUUGCUACAGUAAACGACCCACCCCACGCAGGCCUUCUUCUACCCUCGCUACAAGACAACAGGAGGGGCAGGGAGGUCGUGGCGCACAUCCAGGCCGCCAUGGCCGUGGAUGGCCACCACGUCGCCCCCGGCCUAUAUAAAAUGUCCCCCGACAACCCUAGCUCACCCUUGACCAGUACCCCCCUCGAUCCCCCUUCGCCCCUCUCCUCUUUGCCUCAAUUUCGAACUCAGAUUUGGUGCGGUGGCCGCUUCCUCACCGUCGUUACCAUGGCCACCGUCGUCGCCAUCGCUUCGGAGCACGUCUACGAGGUCCACCAUGGUCAUCUUCAUUCGUCCUGGGCUCGAGCUCAAGCCGGGGCGGCCUGUACCCUCGCCAUCGCCAUCAUCUGCAUCGUGUACAUCACCGGCGUUUGUCGUCGAUUCUCACAGUUCCGGUCCACCCCAACACUCUCCAACCUCGUCCUCGGCUCCACGGUGAGCCUCUCCUUCGGAUCCCCCCUGUAGCCCCCUCGAUCCAUCGCCGUCGUAGUCGUGCUCGCCUAGGCCGCCAUGGUCGGCGCUCUCGCCGGCGCCCGCACACCCUGGCGCUCACCGCGCCGUUGACCGUGUCUCCGCGCGCGCCCGCCCGUGCUACACCUUGCCCCGGUCUUUCCCUACAGCGUGUGCGCCCACUCCUCGCCCGCGCGCUAGCCCUCUGCCGCGCUCCCUGCCCGUUCCUGUCGCGCUGCUCCGCUGAUGCUUGCAGCCGCUGUCGUUUACUGCUGCUAUCUACUUCUGCUGCUAGUCGCUCCGGCUACCUACGGCUGCCGCUUUGCUGCUUGCUGAUGCUGCUCUUCCUCCUGCCUAGCUGCUGCCCUCCGCCACUGCCGCCGGAUGCUACUGCUGCUGGCCACGGCCAUGGCCGUGUGUGUGUGUGUGCGCGCGCGCGCGCGCGCCUGUCUGUGUGUGUGCUGUGUGCUGUGUGUGCGUGAGUGUUUGGGUGUGUGGCCGGCUGGACACUGUUCAGUACGGCCAGCCCUAAUGCUAAUUAGUAGUACUAAUUAGGUUAGCUAGGUUAGUUGAAUAAUUAGUCUAAUGUAGGUAUGACAUGUGGCCCCCACUUCUAAUCAAUCUAAUUUAAUUAAAGUCUAACUAAGUCUAGUCACUGACAGGUGGACCCCAGUUACCUUUUGACUAGUCAGUUUGACUUGGUUAAUUCGGAUUAAAAUGAAUGCACAAUUCCAGAAAUUUUAGAUUAUUGAUAAAACUUUGGAAAUUCAUAUAAAAUAAACCGUAGCUCGGAUGAAAAAGUUUUCUACAUGAAAGUUGCUCAGAACAACGAGACCAAUCCGAACACGCGAUCCGUUCGUCCGCCACACGUCCCUAGCAUAGCGAACAUGCAACCUUUCUCAUCUGGUUCAUCUGUUUGAAAGAUGUCCGGAACCGGGAAAACUUUCCUGGAUGUUGUCCCCCUUUACCGGUAUUGUGUAGCACCGCGUUAGAACACGUCUAGCUAUGCCUGUUGUCCUGUUAUGCUCUUGCUUGCUAUGUAUUUACUAUUUUCUCCCCCCUCUUCUCUUCGGUAGACCCCGUGACGGCUGCCGAUGCUGCUGUGAUCGACUACGUCGACGACGACCCCUCCUUCCCACCUGAGCAACCAGGCAAGCCCUACCUUCGAUCAUCCCGAUAUCGCCCAUUCUAUACUCUCAUGCUUGCAUUAGAUUUUCCUACUGUUAUUGUUUGCUCCUAUUUUGAUGCAUAGCCUGCUUUUGUACCUACUUAUUGUUACUUACUGCUUAUCCUAAACUGCUUAGUAUAGGUUGGUUAGUGAUCCAUCAAUGACCCCAACCUUGUCCUUGUUGCCCCUGCUUCAUCAUCGACGCCUCGAUCAACCUGAUCGACGACCAGAGCUUGACACCUCACAUCACAUCACGCCCCUUUAGUUGCUUUACUCUGCAGAGCUACUAUCGAGUGCCGAGUGUGAUCCCUCAUAACGCAUUGCUGAUGAUAAUUUUGUAGUGUAGCUAUUCGGUCGUGGUCAUCGAGGGUGGUUCCUCUUUCACCAUUCCCGAUACGGCUCUGUCGUGCAACACCUCAAGUGUGAACCUCGAGGGUGGAUCCUGUUACGUUCACCUUGAUGGUUACAUCGAGUGGAACCCUCCGUGGGUGAUUCCUCGGGUUUUCCCCUUGAUGUUUGGACACACGGUUACAAUGACUUUACUUGAGACAUUGGUGAAAGUCAGGCGGGCUCGGAGAGCACCCGCAAGAAAAUGACGUGGCACGGUCGGGCAUUCUGGGCUCUUGUCAUAAGUCCACGAGACAGGGCGACGGGGUCACUUCGAUCGUGAGUCUCUGCUCGUCUCCGCAAGCUAAUAAUACACUAUGGUUUGGGUAUUUGUUCUGAGUUGGCCUCUGGCCUUUACGCACCAACCACCAUGCGAUAAUAGUUAUGGGCCUCGGCGUCGUGGUAUCAGCUGAAGCUUUGUUAGACAUCCAGUUCAGCAGUGCGGCACGGCUGGGCCGGCACCAUCCUGUAGUGGUGGAGCCUGGACCCGCCCUGCGUGCAACGACCCGGAGUGCAACGGGCGAUGGGCCGAGACCCCAGAGUGCUUAGGAGGUAGACCGGCGGGGACCUCUCUGCUGAGCCUAGGUAGGGCUGCGAUGUGUUGAUCUUCCGAGGCCGGGCAUUGAUCCCAGAAAGGUGUGUCCGGCCAGAGUGAUCGAGCGUGUUGGAAAACGUGGUGCACCCCUGCAAGGAAGAUUAUCUAUUAAUAGCCGUGUCCAUGGUAACGGACGUUCAGACUUAUAUCCUGAUCUUAUACAACUACAAAUGGAUACUUGAGAUAUGUGGCUCCGAGAUUGCUUUCUCGCAGGGAGUCGAGGAAGGAUCUUUGGGCAUUAAUGUUACAACAUGCUUCUUAAUUAUAAAAUGCUAUUGUUUACUCUUCUACAUGCCGCAAGAUGCUUGGAGCUGCUUGAAGAUGCUAGUCUUCGAUAGGCUAGGCCUUCCCCUCUAUUCUGGAUUCUGCAGUUCAGUCCACAGAUACGUCCCUUUCAUUUGAUACCAAUGCAUACUUAGUAUAGAUCUAAUGCUUGCGAGUACUUUGGAUGAGUACUCACGAUUGCUUUGCUACCCCCUUUUCCCCCUUCUUCUUCUUUCCGGUUGAUGCAACCAGAUGGUGGAUCCUUGGAGCCAGAUGCCACCGCCAACGGAUACUACUAGAUGGAGGCCGCCGAAGACCAGGAGUAGUUAGGAGGUCCCAGGCAGGAGGCCUUGCCUCUUCAAUCGUGUUGCUUUUGUGCUAGCCUUCUUAAGGCAUCAUUGCUAACCUUAUGUCUGUACUCAGAUAUUGUUGCUUCCACUGACUCUUGUGUAUCGAGCUAUGUAUUCGAGCCCUCGCGGUCCCUGGCUUGUAAUAUAAAGCUUGUAUUGUUUUAUUUGUGUCUAGAGUUGUGUUGUUAUAUCUUCCAGUGAGUUCCUAAUCUUGAUCGUACACAUUUG